UGAGGACUGUUUGUACGAAGAGCGAGACAAGCUGGAGGAGCACAGAAUCAUGUCUCCCUUCUGGAAAAAGCAACAUGUCUAAUAAGUGCAUAGAGCUCUGUUUUUCAGAAACUACGUCUAAUCAUCUCUUUCUUUUCCACCAAACCCACUCCAUGCACACUUGUGACCUUGCUUCGUCGGCACAAUCACAAUAAAUGUGUAAAGACGACCGAAUCAAAAGAAAAGUUAAAGGAAGAAAAAUGCCCAAAGGUGACAUCUGACUCCUGAUGAUAUAAAAUGUUAAUUAGGUUUCUGCAGGUGUGGAGGUUAAGCUCAAAUGAAGCACAUGUGUUGAAUUCAGAUUAGACUCCAUCCUGCUGCUUAUAGCAUCACUUGCUUUAUUUCAUAUCGCAGUCAGCCAUGAAAAUCGUCGUUGUGUGUGGCCACGGGAAACAAAGCGUGACCUGAUGUGUUCCCGUGAUUAGAGCGGCUGUGAGGAAGGACACUGAAGAACAGUCUUUGAGUCUCUCCACAAACUCUCACUCUGAAACAAGAAGAGAGAUGGGGGGACGGCUGUCUUAUCGCUGAUUGGAUUUGAUUUCGGAGGAACACAAUUACCCGCGGAUCGAACCUCCCCGGUGAAGGUCUCCGUACCACCUGUGGGGUUUUCAGCCAAAAUGAUGGCUCUACAUAUCACCGACACUGCAGGCGGACACAGCAGUGAGAGCUUCCCACUUCAAAACACGAGGGGCCAAAUCGAGGAAUUGGUUCUUCAUCACAUGUCGGUAAUAGGAUGUCUAAACUCGAAUAGAGGAGAGAUGCUCACAACAAAAGCUGAUCCGAAAAGGAAGUCAAGUAAACCCUGGACCAGUUCCGAGUGGAGCGCCUGAGUAAAGGACUACAGGCUGGACCCGCUACCCACAGGAACGUAGCCUAGCGCAUCCAAUUAAAUGACGGACAGGUUUGCGGAUGAGACAAACACAGCCCUGUUGUUGUCUCUUGCAUGUCAGCUAAUGGAGUUGUGCUUGCAGCUUGGUUGCGCAGCACCGAGCGUCUCUGCUGGGACUCUGGAUCAGGAUUGAAAAUGUAUCCAACACUAGACUUCUGCUUCUCGUUCUAGCACGACGAUUGAUCUUUGUUUUGUUAAACUGAGAACACGGCCUCCUGAAGAAGCAUCAUACAUGAUUGAAAUGUUCUUUUGGGGUCAGUUUGAGGGGAUUCUGACUUUCCUUGUAAAAAGAUCCAGACUUAAAUAUAGAUAAUGAAAAGGAUCUCCAAGAAAUUCUGCAUGAUUAUUCUAAUUUAUGAACAAAUAGUCCACAUGUGAUCCUGAUGUGGAGCUCCAGGAGGGCAGAAAAGGCCAAGAGUAAAA
Long non-coding RNA from Notolabrus celidotus (New Zealand spotty), 1351 nucleotides. RefSeq lists it as uncharacterized. The transcript has 3 exons. The record is from RefSeq and is a predicted model, not a curated record. NCBI's taxonomy places the organism in Eukaryota, Metazoa, Chordata, Actinopteri, Labriformes, Labridae.